RNAcentral lists this unclassified non-coding RNA (212 nucleotides) under uncultured fungus. RNAcentral's name for it is "sequence contains ITS1". The record is from RNAcentral. Lineage: Eukaryota; Fungi.
GUUUAAAGCUUUUUAAAACGUGUUUCCACGCUUCAGGUUUACAUUCAAUAGACAUACGAUUGGUUUGUGUGAUACAUAGGAAGAGCCCGAAGGCCCAACCUACAAAAGGUGCACAGGUGGUUGGUUUGGUUACGGGGCGUGCACAUGCCUUUCGGCCAGCUACAACCCCAGUUAAUUCAAUAAUGAUCCUUCCGCAGGUUCACCUACGGAAA